AGACAUAUCAACUCCCGCAAACUUAGUCUAUGGGCUUAAAAGAUUAAUGAAUGCAAAGGGUAGAGUUAAGUUGUAGUAUUUUAGGUUGUCAAUCCAAAUGGGUGUGAUGCUAACAAUCAAGAUGUGAUAUGAAGUCAAUAAGUCAAGCCAAGCAAUAGGUCUUUAGUCAA
Molecule: small RNA, 170 nt
Filed under: Arabidopsis thaliana (thale cress)
Lineage: Eukaryota; Viridiplantae; Streptophyta; Magnoliopsida; Brassicales; Brassicaceae
Description: ATSL167410
Source: RNAcentral